This 253-nucleotide ribosomal RNA is filed under the name uncultured bacterium. Its description in RNAcentral is "partial 16S ribosomal RNA". It matches the Rfam family "Bacterial small subunit ribosomal RNA", at positions 524 to 776 of the family's 1533-position model. The record is from RNAcentral.
UACGUAGGGGGCAAGCGUUGUCCGGAUUUAUUGGGCGUAAAGAGCGUGUAGGCGGCUUUACAGGUCCGUUGUGAAAACUCGAGGCUCAACCUCGAGACGCCGGUGGAAACCGUAAAGCUAGAGUCCGGAAGAGGAGAGUGGAAUUCCUGGUGUAGCGGUGAAAUGCGCAGAUAUCAGGAGGAACACCCGUGGCGAAAGCGGCUCUCUAGUACGGUACUGACGCUGAGACGCGAAAGCGUGGGGAGCGAACAGG